RNAcentral lists this ribosomal RNA (354 nucleotides) under uncultured bacterium. Its description in RNAcentral is "partial 16S ribosomal RNA". It matches the Rfam family "Bacterial small subunit ribosomal RNA", at positions 523 to 876 of the family's 1533-position model. The record is from RNAcentral.
AUACGUAGGAGGCAAGCGUUGUCCGGAAUUAUUGGGCGUAAAGCGCAUGUAGGCGGUAAUUUAAGUCUGUCGUGAAACUGCGGGGCUCAGCCCCGUAUGGCGAUUGAAACUGGGUUACUUGAGUGCAGGAGAGGAAAGGGGAACUCCCAGUGUAGCGGUGAAAUGCGUAGAUAUUGGGAAGAACACCGGUGGCGAAGGCGCCUUUCUGGACUGUGUCUGACGCUGAGAUGCGAAAGCCAGGGUAGCGAACGGGAUUAGAUACCCCGGUAUUCCUGGCCGUAAACGAUGGGUACUAGGUGUGGGAGGGAUCGACCCCUUCCGUGCCGGAGUUAACGCAAUAAGUACCCCGCCUGG